UAAAGUGGAUUAGCGGCGGACGGGUGAGUAACACGUGAGUAACCUGCCUUAGACAUUGGGAUAGCCUCGGGAAACCGGGAUUAAUACCAAAUAAAAUCAUAAUGACACAUGUCAUAACGAUCAAAACUCCGGUGGUCUAAGAUGGACUCGCGUCCCAUUAGCUAGUUGGUAGAGUAAAAGCCUACCAAGGCGACGAUGGGUAGCCGGCCUGAGAGGGUGAACGGCCACAUUGGAACUGAGAAACGGCCCAA
RNAcentral lists this ribosomal RNA (251 nucleotides) under uncultured Eubacteriales bacterium. RNAcentral's name for it is "uncultured Clostridiales bacterium partial 16S ribosomal RNA". It matches the Rfam family "Bacterial small subunit ribosomal RNA", at positions 83 to 334 of the family's 1533-position model. The record is from RNAcentral. Lineage: Bacteria; Bacillati; Bacillota; Clostridia; Eubacteriales.